ACCACGGCAAUUCAUACAACUAAAAGAGAAUCAGAAAACGUGGCAAAGCUGAUCUUACUCCUCUUCCCUGUAUUUUUAAUAUGAGUUGAAGCGGGUUUCUGUCAGAACACAGGUGGGAUGCUGCCAAAGGGUGACUUGACAAGCUGUGCCAGGUCUGCUCCUGGGAUCUGAACCUGCGAACCCCAUGCCACCCAAGCAGACCGUGCGAACUUAACCACUAUGCCACUGGGCUGGCCCCAGACAAUUUUCCUUUUGGUCAAAGCAAAGUCAACAGAUGACAGGAGUAAAACACCAAUUUGUUCUUAAUUCCCAUACUCAAAUGGAGGAGAGUAUACAGGGCAGGUAUACCACGGUACAGGAAUCUUGGAGACCAUCUUAGAAUUCUGCUACAACAAAUUCCAGUUGCAAAAGAAGGCAAUGACAACAGAACUGGGGGUCUAGGGACAACCAAUAGAGUCAUAAACUGAAGGAUUGCAGCAAAAAGUGCCUGGGUAUUUGUCUAAUGUGUGCGUAUUUGCAUGUUUAUUCCUUAAUUCACCCCUAAGAUGAAGUGUCCAUUGAGUUUUUCUCCUGAGUAUCAACUUGUUUGUGUAAUAAUAAUUGACUUCUCCUUUCCAACUGAUUUGAAAUGACUUAUAUUUAAUAUAUGAAAUUAUCCUGUUUAUUUGUGUUUUAUGAUAUUUUAUAAUAUCUGCUAGAUCUAACCGUACCACAUACCCCAAUUAUAUAUUUUUCCUAAUUGUUUUUUCUUCCAGAUAAACUUUAAAACAAAGACAAUAUGUUGCCCAGUUUUCUCCAAAAGUGACAUUGGUUUUGUUUGUAUUUAUGUGAAACUUACAUAAAUACUUGAUGAACUUCAAUACUUCAGUGAACUUGAAAAGCUCUGAUACAUUUAUAAUCCAAAUAUUCACCUUCUUAUGUCUAUUUUUGUCUUCUUUUAAAAUUUCUUUUCACAUAUCUCCAUGGAUAUUUUAUUACUGAUUCUGGUUAUUAUUAUAACUUGCACAUGCACCCCACCCCCACCCCCACCAAAUGCCGCUCAGCCAUGACAGACUAGAAUGCAUUAGAGCAACCAUACACUACUAUUUUUGCCACUUCCUGGUCCUCAGUAGGGCUAGGGAAAGAGAAUAUAUUCCAGUUCUGACCUGUCUUCCAUCUCAAGAUGGUUGGUUGAACUUCCUGUCGUGUCAUCCACACUUGAUUAUUUAUUUAAACUACAAUGCCAAUUGGACUAAUUAGAAGUUAUUUAUAAUGUAUUGAUAACUCUUAAAAAUAUCUGCUGAAAUUAACUUCAUAUAUAAAAUUCAUAACCUAAUUUUUACAUUUAUUUUUCUGCAGGCUAAAGAGUACCACCUUUCUAAUUGACCGAAGCAUCAGAUACAUUAAAAUUGUUUUGAUAAAUGCAUAUUUCCUAGCUUAUCUCUUGUUAAUGGUACUAAAUUUAGAAGCUGGCAUUAAAGACUAGGUACACAAGAGACAUUGAAAUGAAGAAUUAAUUUGGAAGGAUUUAUCAUCAAAUUUUGGUCGUAUUAGUGAUUGUAUACCAUAUUUUUCC
This is a long non-coding RNA of Equus caballus (horse), 1555 nucleotides long. The record is from Ensembl. Lineage: Eukaryota; Metazoa; Chordata; Mammalia; Perissodactyla; Equidae.